UCCUAAGAUUAGCUCAACGAGAACAGAAAUCUCGUAUGGAACAGAAGGAUAAAAGCUUGUUUCAUUCUGAUUUCCAGUAUGAAUAUGAACCGUGAAAGCAUGGCCUAAC
RNAcentral lists this ribosomal RNA (109 nucleotides) under Olea europaea subsp. europaea. RNAcentral describes it as "PK-G12rRNA". It matches the Rfam family "Eukaryotic large subunit ribosomal RNA", at positions 2661 to 2769 of the family's 3401-position model. The record is from RNAcentral. Lineage: Eukaryota; Viridiplantae; Streptophyta; Magnoliopsida; Lamiales; Oleaceae.